GGGCUUGUAGUUUAAUCGGUAAAACAACGGUCUCCAAAACCGUAGUCCUCAGUUCGAUUCUGGGCGAGCCUGCCA
RNAcentral lists this transfer RNA (75 nucleotides) under Candidatus Dojkabacteria bacterium. Its description in RNAcentral is "tRNA-Trp". It matches the Rfam family "tRNA". Rfam says of the family: Transfer RNA (tRNA) molecules are approximately 80 nucleotides in length. Their secondary structure includes four short double-helical elements and three loops (D, anti-codon, and T loops). The record is from RNAcentral.